This is a long non-coding RNA of Nicotiana attenuata, 664 nucleotides long. RefSeq lists it as uncharacterized. Lineage: Eukaryota; Viridiplantae; Streptophyta; Magnoliopsida; Solanales; Solanaceae. The record is from RefSeq and is a predicted model, not a curated record. The transcript has 5 exons.
GGGAAAAGAGUUACUGAGGCGAUUUCUGACACAUUUGUAGGGCCAGUUCCCACCGUUCCAUUGGAUAAUUCAUCCUUAUUGACUGCACACCAUCAUGGAAUAGUUGUCUCAUUUUCUUUUCAUCCAUCCUUAGAGCCUUUGCCAAUUGACAGAGGAUGAUCAUUGGGUGAUACUUUAUGCUGGUUGGGGCAUAUCAUUUUGAAGACCAAAAGGAAUCCAAAGAACUUUAGGAAAACAUCUCAACUCUAUGUUCAUAUAUCUAAUGAAUUUUACAGGAUGUUUAGAGUUCUUAAUUUGGCUAUGAUGUUUCUUUUUUCAAAGGGCACAGAGAAGAUAGAUAUGUCAAAAUUACGAUCCGCUUAUGCCAUUGGAAAGAUGACUUCUGCAAUUACACUAUUUAAAAAAUUCAGGCAUGCCAAAACCACAAUCCGCUUGUGCUUUUAGAAAGAGGACUUCUGGAACUACAAUAUAUACAAAAAUAAGGGACGUCAAUAACGUGUGCCGUUGGAGAAAGGAAUUUUGGAACUACAAUAUACACAAAAUUAUGGUCCAGAUAUUUUAUAGGUUUGUCUCCUUUCUUUGGUAAUAACUAUCUUUCUGCAUAUGUUGAACAUUUUGUGGUUGUUUUGUAUUCAAUGUGAUUCAACUAUAUUUUAUACUUUAU